This is a long non-coding RNA of Ostrea edulis (European flat oyster), 641 nucleotides long. RefSeq lists it as uncharacterized. The transcript has 3 exons. The record is from RefSeq and is a predicted model, not a curated record. Lineage: Eukaryota; Metazoa; Mollusca; Bivalvia; Ostreida; Ostreidae.
GAUAUUGGGGUAAGCGGGGGGUAUUCUUAGUGAGCAUUGCUCACAGUACCUCUUGUUUUUCAUUACUAAUGCCAUAAAAUCAGGGAUCCAAGGCCUAUGAUAAUUGUGCAAACUUAAAACAAAAAGGUGGAGGCUCAUACCUCACAUUACAAAGGUUUUGACCUAUGAAUAUGUGUGCCUAUCAUAAAAUGGCACUUUCUAUUCUGGUUUAAAUAUUUGUGUUUUUAAAAUUAAGUUGCAAUUUUUUCCAGAGGAAGUAAAGGAUAUUGAUGCCAGUUCUUGUGUGGAUGAUGAGGAUCAGAGUGAGGAGGAAAUAGAUGACAGUCAAGACAACCAGAAUUUCCAAACUGUGACUCCAGGGAAGAGGGAGGCAGUAUCUGAUAGCGGAUGCUCCAGAGAAAUGGAUGAGUCUUCAUCCAAGCGACAGAAGUUACAGAAAAAGCCAUGGACUUCAUCUGAAAUGAACUCCAUUCACAAACAUUUUUCACACUUUAUUACCAUGUUGAAGGUCGAGUAUCUACGAACACAACUGACUUGAAUGAACAUCAGAAGUAUUAGAUAAUGUAUUUACAACUGAAAUUGUAAUAGAAUUUUAUCAAUUGAAUUUGUGAAAUUAAUUUGAUAAUAAAUUUUGAUUUUUU